Molecule: ribosomal RNA, 483 nt
Filed under: uncultured bacterium
Lineage: Bacteria
Description: partial 16S ribosomal RNA
Rfam family: Bacterial small subunit ribosomal RNA
Source: RNAcentral
GACGAACGCUGGCGGCGUGCUUAACACAUGCAAGUCGAACGAUGAAGCCCAGCUUGCUGGGUGGAUUAGUGGCGAACGGGUGAGUAACACGUGAGUAACCUGCCCCUGACUCUGGGAUAAGCGUUGGAAACGACGUCUAAUACUGGAUAUGACUACUGGUCGCAUGGCCUGGUGGUGGAAAGAUUUUUUGGUUGGGGAUGGACUCGCGGCCUAUCAGCUUGGUGGUGGGGUAAUGGCUCACCAAGGCGGCGGAGGGUAGCCGGCCUGAGAGGGUGAACGGCCACCCUGGGACUGAGGCACGGCCCAGACUCCUACGGGAGGGAGGAGGGGGGAAUAUUGCACAAUGGGCGAAAGCCUGAUGCAACCACGCCGGGUGGGGGAUGACGGCCUUCGGGUUGUAAACCUCUUUUAGUAGGGAAGAAGCGAAAGUGACGGUACCUGCAGAAAAAGCACCGGCUAACUACGUGCCAGUAGCCGCCGUAA